Molecule: ribosomal RNA, 255 nt
Filed under: Ralstonia solanacearum
Lineage: Bacteria; Pseudomonadati; Pseudomonadota; Betaproteobacteria; Burkholderiales; Burkholderiaceae
Description: partial 16S ribosomal RNA
Rfam family: Bacterial small subunit ribosomal RNA
Source: RNAcentral
UAGCCACAGUGGGGCCCACAUCAACGGGCCCUGUACAGGGGGAUAACUAGUCGAAAGACUAGCUAAUACCGCAUACGACCUGAGGGUGAAAGUGGGGGACCGCAAGGCCUCAUGCUAUAGGAGCGGCCGAUGUCUGAUUAGCUAGUUGGUGGGGUAAAGGCCCACCAAGGCGACGAUCAGUAGCUGGUCUGAGAGGACGAUCAGCCACACUGGGACUGAGACACGGCCCAGACUCCUACGGGAGGCAGCAGUGGG